CCCGUCCCUUCGGAAGCCAGGCGCCUGGGAGCUGGGGCGCGAGGGCAGGCGCGGAGGCAUCGCCGCGGGGCGCAGGGCGCCCCACCUUCCCGCCCGGGUCGGCUGGUUCGUCGCUGCCCACGCUGGCAGCUCGCUGCUUUCCCCAACUACCUGUCUGCGUAGCCCGAGGGGCCCCCAGGCCCGGCCCGCCUCUCCCGGGCGUCCCCCACCGCACCCGGGAGCGCUCUCCGGGGAGCCCGGCGGUGCCCCGUGCCUCUCCCCCUGGGCCUCUCUCUGCGCUUUUGUGGCCUCCACCCCGCGACGCGACACAGCCUUGGCGGAGUCACCCCUCCCACCCGGGAGUUUGCAGUGUGGACGCCCGCCCGCGAGCGAGCACACUGUUGACAGCAAUGCCAUGCCAUGUCCUGACCUUGUGGCGAGAGGAAAAGGAAGCAGGACAGCCUGAGCCCCCAGCAUUCACGGGUCUGGAGAAGUGCUAGAAGGAUUUCCAUUCGGUGCUCUGUGUGCAAGGCGUGGGAAGACCUUGGUGCUGCGGGCUGACAUGCCAGGACCCCUGACCUGUGUCCGGCUUUGGUGACAGCUGAAGGAGUGACAUGAUCAAGACCUAGCCCGGCGUGGCUGCCAACCUACGCGCCCUGGGAGAACAUAAGGAAGACAUCUCCGGUGUCACAAAUGCACCGGACUGACCCUAAAGCAAACUUGGAAUCGAAGUGAGCACUUCCACCCACAGGUCUGGAGCUGGGGGAGGAACUCGGGGCUGAAGACUGGAUUCAGGAGUCCUUGGUCUCCACUGAAGUGGAGUGAGGAGCAGGUCAGACUCACUGCGAUCCCAGCCUCCAAGGGGCAAAGGGCACCAUCCCCCAAGAUGAGGAGGAGAACAAUUUGAAGAGACUCUUUGCCUCAGGAGAAGACCCAUGAAAGAGGAGUGGCCCAGGUGGCAGGAGACCCACAGAGUGUGCAGGAGGCUGAAGCAGCCUGGCCCAGCACCUUGUCCUCUGCAGAGGCCCCUGUCACUCACCAAGUCCAGCACCACACCUAGGUCACCCUGAGCACCAAGCCAGUGUGGGCAGUCGAGGGACAUCCCUGGGCAGCUUUCCUGUCACCCUGGACUGUGCUGGUCAUCAGCUGGGCACUCUGUUCCCUGUGGUGUGAGGAUUUGGUCCACACCGUCCACACACUGCCCAUCCUCCCUGGUCACUGCAGAUGCAGGCGGUGACCCUACUGGGUGAGGCUGGCAGUGCAGUGCAAGGCGACUGCCCUCAGGGAGGUCUGCUAGCACCAAACAGAGCCAGAUCAUUAGGAAAACACUGAAGUGCAAAAGGGGAGAAGGGCAGGUUUGGCCAGUGCCAUUUUCACCACUGUUGGCUGCUUCUCUACUAGUAGAGUAGCUGGCUGUGUGGCUUCAAUGUCAAGAUUACUGAGUUCAAAGCCUGUGUCUCCCUGUGUGGCCCUUGCACAGGUGACCCCAGCUAUGGGUGCCAAGCUCUGUGGCUGUGAAAGGAGGGCCCACUUCGCAGCAUGCCACCAGAGUGCACACGAGGGAAAGGGCUGCUGUGUUCUCAUUGCUGUCUCUGUCAUUCCUGUAAGGGACAUGGAGAGCCUGCUUCACACUUGGUCCUGAGACUCUCGGGGAAGGCAGAAGACCCUGCAGAACUUCAGGGUGCAGCUCUGUUUUCUGGCUCUGCUCUCUCAGCAGGGAUAAACCUUUCCGCAGAACUCUCCCUGCUGCCAUAAAAUGCCCUCUCUGCAGACUGGGACAUCCCCAGAUGCCAGGCAGACGGUGGCUCCGUGCCCUGUGCCCUCAACGCUCUGGUGGCGCCAAGGAGUUCUGCGUUCAGUACCUGACCUGCUGAGUGAGCUCAGCCCCUGCCACAUUAGUUACACAAGCGUUUCCCGAGAGACAAGCUGAAGCUGUCCUGCUCACCUGCUCCUCUGAGCGCAUCCUGGAGGCUGUGAGAUAGGCCGCAUGCAGAGAGAAAGCAUUGUUCUGCAACCUGCUCUCUCCUCAGGGGUGAGAAGGAAGCAGGGGAAAAAGAAAAAGAGGAAUUAUUGACCCCUUUGUUUUCUCUUUGAAAAAUGUAAUGGAGCUCUGAAGCCAGUUCAAGUGAUGCGGGGACAAAUUUUGAAUAAAGGGUGAUCUUGACUUGACACUCACUCCCUGGUGUCCUUCCUGGGAGUCAGGCUUUCAGGACCACAGGUCGCAUCUGCAGGGGUUGAUCUGCAGGUUUUGCAUUUCUAGGGUGACACUGGGACGUUUCUCACUGCCGGGGCACCAGACAACACUGUGAUAGCAGAAGUGAGCUGCAUCUGUCCUGUCCAUGCAGAGCCCCAGCCACGCCUGGCUGUGCCCCGGCAGCUGAGUGACUUCACCUCAGAUUUCCCUAAGGUGCUUAAAUUUAAGUGGGUGAAUGUGAUUAGUGUAUGGGGUACAGGUUAGUGCUCAAAACACUAUCACAGCAGCACUAGGACCAGCCACAACAUACUAGACUGUGUCACCCAGCCACAAGAAGGAAGAGGGUGACCGGCAAGACCUUCCUGUCCCCAGUGGGAACUUCUGCUCCUGGCUGUGCCCGGUCACCACCUUUGGCUCCACCGGCCAGCUGAGGGACUGCAGCCUGCUCUCUCCAGGGAGAAUGAGGUUGAGAUGACAGAAGAACACGCAUCACCUCCUGGGCUAGGUACUGUUCCCACUCGGAAGCUCUCCCUUCCGGUACGGACUCAGCGAGAGGGUGACCUGGAGCGCUAAGCGGAGGGGUAGAUGGGAGCUGGUGUUGGGGUGCUGGGGUGUUGGUGAGGUCAAGAGGCUGGAAAGCAGUGCAGAAUCUGCAGCUGGGUGGCCACAUCCUGGUUCAGGAUUUGGGGACACAGGCUCAGGAGUUGAUGUGAGUUCCCAAUCCAAGAGAGAGGGAGGCCCCAGAGCCAUGUGGGAGCAGACCACGAGCAUGAGAGGACCAGGAGGGACCUCUGUCCCAGGCCAGGAAUGGGGGAGAAAAAGGAGAGAACAGGUGGUGGGGCCUGGCUCCUGGGCUGGGUGCAUGCAUUCCAUCUCUUGGGUCCCAGGACAGCAGGGCAC
This is a long non-coding RNA of Heterocephalus glaber (naked mole-rat), 3073 nucleotides long. Lineage: Eukaryota; Metazoa; Chordata; Mammalia; Rodentia; Bathyergidae. The record is from Ensembl.